Molecule: ribosomal RNA, 1817 nt
Filed under: Botryllus schlosseri
Lineage: Eukaryota; Metazoa; Chordata; Ascidiacea; Stolidobranchia; Styelidae
Description: SSU rRNA
Rfam family: Eukaryotic small subunit ribosomal RNA
Source: RNAcentral
UCUGGUUGAUCCUGCCAUGUANUGAAUAUGCUUGUCUCAAAGAUUAAGCCAUGCAGGUGUAAGUACGAACUGAACGUAAAGUGAAACUGCGAACGGCUCAUUAAAUCAGUCUUGGUUUAUUUGGUCCUUGCGAGAGCUAACGUGGAUAACUGUGGCAAUUCCAGAGCUAAUACAUGCGACCGAGCGCCGACUCCGGGAGGCGCGCUUUUAUUGGUUCGAACCCGACCGGGCCUUCGCGGGCCCGUCUCUUUCGAUGACUCUGGAUAACCACGCGGAUCGCACGCCUUCGCGGCGGCGACCUACCAUUCAAGUGUCUGACCUAUCAACUUUCGAAGGUAGGCUACGGGCUUACCUUUGUGAUAACGGGUGACGGGGAAUCAGGGUUCGAUUCCGGAGAGGGAGCCUGAGAAACGGCUACCACAUCCAAGGAAGGCAGCAGGCGCGCAAAUUACCCAUUCCCGACACGGGGAGGUAGUGACGAAAAAUACCGAUGCGGGACUCUAACGAGGCCCCGCAAUCGGAAUGAGUACAUUCUAAAACUCUUGUCGAGUAUCCAUCGGAGGGCAAGUCUGGUGCCAGCAGCCGCGGUAAUUCCAGCUCCGAAAGUGUAUGCUAAAGUUGUUGCGGUUGAAAAGCUCGUAGUUGGAUGAAGAGCGCGCGGCGCCGGUCCGUCCGUCGAAGGGCGUGCACCGGCGUCGAGAGUUCCGCCUGUCGGCGCUUCCCGGGUGUUCUUGAUCGGGUGCACGGGGUGACCGACGAGUUUACUUUGAAAAAAUUAGAGUGUUCAAAGCAGGUUUUUCGCCUGCAUAGUGUUGCAUGGAAUAAUGGAAUAAGACCUCGGUCUCGUUUCGUUGGCGUUCGCGAGUGCGAGGUAAUGAUUGAGAGGGACAGCCGGGGGCGUCCGUACUCUGCCGUUAGAGGUGAAAUUCUUGGAUCGGCGGAAGACGAACUACUGCGAAAGCGUUCGCCAAGAAUGUUUUCUUUAAUCAAGAGCGAAAGUCAGAGGUUCGAAGACGAUCAGAUACCGUCCUAGUUCUGACUAUAAACGAUGCCAACUGGCGAUCGGCGGGCGUUACGAUGACGACCUCGCCGGCAGCUUCCGGGAAACCAAAGUCUUUGGGUUCCGGGGGAAGUAUGGUUGCAAAGCUGAAACUUAAAGGAAUUGACGGAAGGGCACCACCAGGAGUGGAGCCUGCGGCUUAAUUUGACUCAACACGGGGAAACUCACCCGGCCCGGACACGGGAAGGAUUGACAGAUUGACAGCUCUUUCUUGAUUCUGUGGGUGGUGGUGCAUGGCCGUUCUUAGUUGGUGGAGCGAUUUGUCUGGUUAAUUCCGAUAACGAACGAGACUCUGGCAUGCUAAAUAGUUACGCGACCCUCGGCGGUCGGCGUGAAACUUCUUAGAGGGACUAGUGGCGUUUUUAGCCACGCGAGAUCGAGCAAUAACAGGUCUGUGAUGCCCUUAGAUGUUCGGGGCCGCACGCGCGCUACAUUGGGCGGAUCAGCGAGUCCGCCCGGGCCGAAGGGUCCGGGUAACCCGUUGAACCCCGUCCGUGAUUGGGAUAGGGCCUUGCAAUUGUUGCCCUCGAACGAGGAAUUCCCAGUAAGCGCGAGUCAUCAGCUCGCGUUGAUUACGUCCCUGCCCUUUGUACACACCGCCCGUCGCUACUACCGAUUGAAAGGUUUAGUGAGAUCCUCGGAUCUGCCCCGUCGCGGUUGGAGACGGCCGCGGCGGUACGCAGUGAAGGCGACCGAACUUGAUCGUUUAGAGGAAGUAAAAGUCGUAACAAGGUUUCCGUAGGUGAACCUGCGGAAG